UCGCGGCUUAUCACCGGCAGUCCCCUUAGAGUGCCCAACUAAAUGAUGGCAACUAAAGACGAGGGUUGCGCUCGUUGCGGGACUUAACCCAGCAUCUCACGACACGAGCUGACGACAGCCAUGAAGCACCUGUGUUCUAGCCAGCUUAACUGAAGGAAUCCAUCUCUGGAAACCAUACUAGACAUGUCAAACGCUGGUAAGGUUCUGCGCGUUGCUUCGAAUUAAACCACAUGCUCCACCGCUUGUGCGGGUCCCCGUCAAUUCCUUUGAGUUUUAACCUUGCGGCCGUACUCCCCAGGCGGUCAACUUCACGCGUUAGCUUCGUUACCAAGGGAAUCAAUCCCCCGACAACCAGUUGACAUAGUUUAGGGCGUGGACUAC
RNAcentral lists this unclassified non-coding RNA (381 nucleotides) under uncultured Pseudomonadota bacterium. RNAcentral's name for it is "uncultured proteobacterium contains 16S-23S intergenic spacer region". Lineage: Bacteria; Pseudomonadati; Pseudomonadota. The record is from RNAcentral.